UUAAUCUUGGACCAUGCCUUUUCUCU
RNAcentral lists this non-coding RNA (26 nucleotides) under Mus musculus (house mouse). The record is from RNAcentral. Lineage: Eukaryota; Metazoa; Chordata; Mammalia; Rodentia; Muridae.